GAGCGGUUCGCUGCCCGCGACGUCGUGAGAAGUCCACUGAACCUUAUCAUUUAGAGGAAGGAGAAGUCG
Molecule: ribosomal RNA, 69 nt
Filed under: Coffea ambongensis
Lineage: Eukaryota; Viridiplantae; Streptophyta; Magnoliopsida; Gentianales; Rubiaceae
Description: partial 18S ribosomal RNA
Source: RNAcentral